UAGAUACCCCUGUAGUCCACGCCGUAAACGAUGGAUGCUAGGCAUUGGCAGUAUCGACCCUGUCAGUGUCGUUCACCUAAGGUAACCCCUUAAGCAUCCCGCCUG
Molecule: ribosomal RNA, 105 nt
Filed under: Candidatus Uhrbacteria bacterium RIFCSPHIGHO2_02_FULL_47_29
Lineage: Bacteria; Candidatus Uhriibacteriota
Description: partial 16S ribosomal RNA
Rfam family: Bacterial small subunit ribosomal RNA
Source: RNAcentral